RNAcentral lists this ribosomal RNA (468 nucleotides) under uncultured bacterium. RNAcentral describes it as "partial 16S ribosomal RNA". It matches the Rfam family "Bacterial small subunit ribosomal RNA", at positions 28 to 507 of the family's 1533-position model. The record is from RNAcentral.
GACGAACGCUGGCGGCGUGCUUAACACAUGCAAGUCGAACGGAAAGGCCCUGCUUUUGUGGGGUGCUCGAUUGGCGAACGGGUGAGUAACACGUGAGUAACCUGCCCUUGACUUUGGGAUAACUUCAGGAAACUGGGGCUAAUACUGGAUAGGAGCUCCUGCUGCAUGGUGGGGGUUGGAAAGUUUCGGCGGUUGGGGAUGGACUCGCGGCUUAUCAGCUUGUUGGUGGGGUAGUGGCUUACCAAGGGUUUGACGGGUAGCCGGCAUGAGAGGGUGACCGGCCACAUUGGGACUGCGAUACGGCCCAGACUCCUACGGGAGGCAGCAGUGGGGAAUAUUGCACAAUGGGCGGAAGCCUGAUGCAGCAACCCCGCGUGCGGGAUGCCGGCUUUCGGGUUGUAAACCGCUUUCGCAUGUGACGAAGCGUGAGUGACGGUAAUGGGUAAAGAAGCACCGGCUAACUACGUG